GCAGUGUCCCGGCUCGUCGCUGGCGUAUUUCAUGACGCGAGAGGAAAGUCCGGGCAGCACAAGGCGCUCCACUUCUGAAAGUAGAAGCUAUUGGCGACAGUAGGUAAAGGCAGAAGAAAAUAACCGCCUCAUCGGAACUAACAGAAUACGUUUUGUUGGGCCAGAGGUAAGGGUGAGAAGGUAGUGUAAGAGACUACCAGCUGGCGGGUGAUCGUCAGGCUGUGCCGUCUGGAGGCUGUAAGUUCAUGUAAACCGUCGUCAUGUCAAGGGUAGCCUGCCCGAUGUGCUUCGAGCACAACGACGGAGGGUAGAACGCUAGAGGUACAGGGUGACCUGUAAGGUAGAUAAAUGACAGAGCUCUCUCCACUUGUGGAGGGAUACAGAACCCGGCUUAUCAGGGCACUGUCUUA
Molecule: RNase P RNA, 410 nt
Filed under: Prevotella sp.
Lineage: Bacteria; Pseudomonadati; Bacteroidota; Bacteroidia; Bacteroidales; Prevotellaceae
Description: RNase P RNA component class A
Rfam family: Bacterial RNase P class A
About the family: Ribonuclease P (RNase P) is a ubiquitous endoribonuclease, found in archaea, bacteria and eukarya as well as chloroplasts and mitochondria.
Source: RNAcentral